RNAcentral lists this ribosomal RNA (312 nucleotides) under uncultured eukaryote. RNAcentral describes it as "partial 18S ribosomal RNA". It matches the Rfam family "Eukaryotic small subunit ribosomal RNA", at positions 1470 to 1796 of the family's 1831-position model. The record is from RNAcentral.
CCCUUAGAUGUUCUGGGCCGCACACGCGCUACAAUGGUGAAUUCAACAAGUCAACCAAAGCCGAUAGGUGGAGGUAAACUCGUAGUAUUCGCCGUGAUGGGGAUAGACCCUUGUAAUUAUUGGUCUCCAACGAGGAAUUCCUAGUAGACGCAAGUCAUCAACUUGCAUUGAUUACGUCCCUGCCCUUUGUACACACCGCCCGUCGCACCUACCGAUUGAAUGGUCCGGUGAAGCCUCCGGAUUGGCGCGCACCUCGGUGCCGCCGAGAAGUUGGCUAAACCUUACCAUUUAGAGGAAGGUGAAGUCGUAACA